This 56-nucleotide transfer RNA is filed under the name Chlorocebus sabaeus (green monkey). It matches the Rfam family "tRNA", at positions 10 to 63 of the family's 71-position model. From Rfam's summary of the family: Transfer RNA (tRNA) molecules are approximately 80 nucleotides in length. Their secondary structure includes four short double-helical elements and three loops (D, anti-codon, and T loops). The record is from Rfam by way of RNAcentral. Lineage: Eukaryota; Metazoa; Chordata; Mammalia; Primates; Cercopithecidae.
GCUCAGUUGGUAGAGUAUGAGACUGUUAAUCUCAGGGUCGUGGGUUCGAGCCCCAC